This 302-nucleotide ribosomal RNA is filed under the name uncultured bacterium. RNAcentral's name for it is "partial 16S ribosomal RNA". It matches the Rfam family "Bacterial small subunit ribosomal RNA", at positions 508 to 807 of the family's 1533-position model. The record is from RNAcentral.
GCAGCCGCCGCGGUAAUACGAAGGGUGCAAGCGUUACUCGGAAUUACUGGGUGUAAAGCGUGCGUAGGUGGUGGUUUAAGUCCGUUGUGAAAGCCCUGGGCUCAACCUGGGAAUUGCAGUGGAUACUGGGUCACUAGAGUGUGGUAGAGGAUAGUGGAAUUUCCGGUGUAGCAGUGAAAUGCGUAGAGAUCGGAAGGAACAUCUGUGGCGAAGGCGACUAUCUGGGCCAACACUGACACUGAGGCACGAAAGCGUGGGGAGCAAACAGGAUUAGAUACCCCUGUAGUCCCUGUCUCUUAUAC